Gambusia affinis (western mosquitofish) is the source of this 3321-nucleotide long non-coding RNA. RefSeq lists it as uncharacterized. NCBI's taxonomy places the organism in Eukaryota, Metazoa, Chordata, Actinopteri, Cyprinodontiformes, Poeciliidae. The record is from RefSeq and is a predicted model, not a curated record. The transcript has 7 exons.
UGUGUUCCCGUCUGCGUCUCCCGUUAAUCAGCCGGAUUCCUCUGGAAGGAAACCAUCCUAACGGCGCCAGAGGUUCUGCUGGAGCUCAUGUUGUUCUGAUCCAAAUCAGAGAGAAAAACCUCUGACAAAUCAUGCUGUGUAGAAAUCAAUGUUGCUCUUCCCCAAGACGCUGAUAUUUAUAGAUGUGAGGUUUGUGCAGCGAGCUGCAGCAGAAGCAUCCAGUUAUGCAGAUAUGAGGAGGCAAACAGCAGAUCUGCAUCCGCUCAGAGUUUCCCUGUCAGAUUCAGGCCUUACUGGGAAUCUCACAACCAGAGACAUUUCAGUUACUGAGCUGGAAAAAUGUUGACCUGGAAUUACCUGGAAUGAUCCGGUUCUGUAAACCGUCUGACAGCAGCAGAUGGUUUGUGUUCCUCUGCUGCAGGUUUUCUUAAAAUCACUCAGUUUUACAUUCGUGUUAUUUUUACAUCAAAUAUAUUUAAAUGUAACAAAAUCAAUUUUGCAUUUAGUUCAGUUAAUAUAAAGACUUUCUGAUUUUCUACUGGAAAAAAUGAAGUCAAAAGAAAUAUUUGGAUUGGAAGUUUUCAAUCCAAAUCUAAAACCUUUUUAGGGGAAGCUAAAAUGUUUGGCAUUUUUUUACAGUUAGCAAAAAUGUUAAUGGGUUAAAAAAACAUUUGUUUCAAUAUUAGCAAAAUAGAACGGCAUUGAAAACAUUACAGGUUUAACUUUUUUAUGAUGUCAUUGCUGAAUGUAAUAAAAUAUAAACUCCUUUGAGAUUCCAGAGAGGAUCCUCCUCCCCCACUAGUUGCUGCAGCCAGUCUGGUUUGCAUCCCUGAAUAUUUACUGACCUAGUUUAAUUUCUAAUCUAUGGACAGCAGAGAGUUGACCUGAAGACCAGAUUAAUAAAUAUUCUGUGGAAAAUGAUCGUUUGGAGAAAAUCAACAUUUAGUUUUUCAGUAUUUACUUGUUCAGAUUCAUCAGCUGAGUGGCUUCAGUGUUUCAGAUCAAAUAACUGAUGAAAAACCUCCAGUGAGGCUGAAAUCAAGAAUCGUGCCGAUCAGAGUCGGUCUGAACAGCUUCAUCGUUUCCUUUUGAUUAGUUUCCUCCAGUAACUUCACAGCUUUUAUUUUAUUUUAUUUUCUUUGCAGAAUGUUCAGAUUUGUUUUACAAUCUGAAACAGAUUUGAUCUGCAGACUCUUCCACCUCGACCUGAACUCCAACUGGGUUUUUAGCUCCAGGAAUGUUUCUGAGCUUUUCCUCUCAAAAAAAGGAAAAAGUUCAGUUUUAUUUCAGGAAAAAACUGAAAUAAGAAAUAAGUUGUUAUUUUUCUACAUGUGAUUCUCAAACAUUGAACUGAGAGAUGACGUCAUCGUAACGGAUCAUUUUAAAGGUGUGAAAGAAUAUUUUAAGAGAUCUUGGAAUGAAACCGGCACCAGUUUAGCUCCUCAGUUCUGGAGGGUUCUGGUAGUUCUGGAGGGUUCUGGUAGUUCUGGGGGUUCUGGUAGUUCUGGAGGGUUCUGGUAGUUGCGGUCAUGUUGCUGUCUGAAUCUUCGGGUCUUUGGUUCCGUUAUCCUGCCGGGUCCAAAGGACAGUUUUCCGGUUUCCCUUCUGGGUUUCGUUGGAGGUUUGAUCCGCAGCGGUUCUGUUGUCGUCAUGCAGACCCGGUUUGUCGGUUUAAUAAGUUCUGCUGCGUCUCGGCUCGGUUCUUCCGUUUGUCUUUAAUUUGCUCCGGUUUUGCUCUUCUCCAGUCCGGUUUUCCACUCAGGAACGACGCGGAUGUGAAAAAGCUGCUUCUGUUUGUGACUGCAGGUUUCCUGAACGUCUCUUCGUUUCCGGUCCUCUUCCACGCCGCGUCUCUUCGUUUCCGGUCCUCUUCCACGCCGCUGUGGUUUUGCUUUCACAGAAACUGUCAACAGGCUUUUCUGUUACGGGUUUUGCUGCUUUCUCCACUCAUUUUCUGUUUCCAAAAAACUGUUUAAAAAAACGAUCCGUUUGAUAAACCACUGAACUCUAAAUUCAUUAACUGAGGCAUUAAAGCUUCUGAACUCAGAGCGGCGACGUGGUGACGUCAGGAGCCGGUUUACGGUCUGCAGCGUUCAGCACCUGGACGGUUCCGGGUUUAUGGAUCUGUUGCAUCAGCAGGUUUACAGAAAACGGAGCCACAGGUUUGAUGCCCGGAUCGGAUUUCCUCUGAGCGCGACGGAAGACCAGGCGGCUCACUCAGACUGCAGCGUGACGCCAAACCACGUCAAAGGCUUCAAAAUAUCUAAGUGAGACCUGCAGUAGUUAUCAAGUGAAACAGAGGAGCCUUCCUGCCACCGAUCCGGAGAGCAGGGCAGCGACAGGAGAGGGUAUUAACCUUUCUCCCGCUGAGGAGCCAGUAGUGGGUGGUGAUGGCACACGGAGAGGAGGUGGAACCCGACCAGAAGGAGGGUGAAGCCGGAGUUGCAGCUGUAGUGGAGGACCGUUCCCUCCGCCGGGGGCCCCGGGGGCCGCGCCGUCACCCUGCCGUUCUCCAGGGACGUCCACACCUUGGGGCACUGCAGCACUGAGGGGGAGCAGAGCAGAAGGCCGGAGGUUGGGAGCCGUCCAGAUGGCUGAACAGCCAAUCAGAGACGUGCGCCGCAGACAGCCGUUUCCUGGUGGACGGCCAAUCAGGAAGGUGGAUUUUACACGAGACGGACCAAGAACCCAAACUAUCCAACCAGACGAGAGACGGUUUCUCCUUCAAGCUUUAAAAUCUGUGAUGAGUGAAGUAAUGAAGAGAUUCUCCUGGUCGCCUGGGAAACAGGAGGAGUUUCAGCACGGUGGAGGACCCGUGAUGCCGCGCAGCACAAACACAAAAUAUUACCAAGUAUUUUCUUCCACUUUCAGGCCUCGGUAGCGGAUCCCUCCGUCCCGCGGAGGCCGGAUGAUGGCGCAGCCUGCACAGGAAGAGACAGGAUGAAGGACAGGAAGAGGACAGCAGGACAUCAGAGGACAUCAGGACAGCAGGACAGCAGGACAUCUGUCUUCAGUUUUAUGGCCUGGAGUCACUGUGACACCCAGAAGCCCCGCCCACUGGUCCUGCCUUACCUGUGACACCCAGAAGCCCCGCCCACUGGUCCUGCCUUACCUGUGACACCCAGAAGCCCCGCCCACUGGUCCUGCCUUACCUGUGACACCCAGAAGCCCCGCCCACUGGUCCUGCCUUACCUGUGACACCCAGAAGCCCCGCCCACUGGUCCUGCCUUACCUGUCAGCCGCUGCAGUGACAUCAACCCAGCAGCUCAUCAUCCAACCCUUCUCAUUCCCAUCGCAGGGAAUUUGUUUUUUUCUCCGAUG